AACGCGAAGAACCUUACCUACCCUUGACAUCCAACGAAGACUGUAGAGAUAUGGUUGUGCCGAAAGGAACGUUGAGACAGGUGCUGCAUGGCUGUCGUCAGCUCGUGUUGUGAGAUGUUGGGUUAAGUCCCGUAACGAGCGCAACCCUUAUGCUUAGUUGCCAACACGUAAAGGUGGGGACUCUAAGGAGACUGCCGGUGAUGAACCGGAGGAAGGCGGGGACGACGUCAAGUCAUCAUGGCCUUUAUGGGUAGGGCUACACACGUGCUACAAUGGUCAGUACAGAGGGCAGCGCAAGCGCAAGCUGUAGCCAAUCCCGAAAAGCUGAUCGUAGUCCGGAUCGGAGUCUGCAACUCGACUCCGUGAAGUCGGAAUCGCUAGUAAUCGCGAAUCAGAAUGUCGCGGUGAAUACGUUCCCGGGCCUUGUACACACCGAUAGC
This 440-nucleotide ribosomal RNA is filed under the name uncultured bacterium. Its description in RNAcentral is "bacterial SSU rRNA". It matches the Rfam family "Bacterial small subunit ribosomal RNA", at positions 958 to 1397 of the family's 1533-position model. The record is from RNAcentral.